Hemiscyllium ocellatum (epaulette shark) is the source of this 258-nucleotide long non-coding RNA. RefSeq lists it as uncharacterized. The transcript has 3 exons. The record is from RefSeq and is a predicted model, not a curated record. NCBI's taxonomy places the organism in Eukaryota, Metazoa, Chordata, Chondrichthyes, Orectolobiformes, Hemiscylliidae.
AGGUUAUCAUGAAACAACACCUUUACCAACAUUACCACCAGCAUUGACAACAACACGCACUCCAAAUGUGACAGAGAAGCCCAUUGAAUUUAAUGUGACCUUCACAAUCACCAACCUUGAGUUUACACAAAGUCUACAAGAUUCCAGUUCCUUGCUUUUCAGUUCUGCAUCAAAUAUUAUUUCUCACCAGCUCACUGCCCUGUUCACCAAGAGUAAAAUUAAUGAAACAUUUUUACAUUGCAAUGUUGUUUCCUUCAG